CCUACGGGAGGCUGCAGUGGGGAAUAUUGCACAAUGGGGGAAACCCUGAUGCAGCAACGCCGCGUGAGCGAUGAAGGCCUUCGGGUCGUAAAGCUCUGUCCUAAGGGAAGAAUACUGACGGUACCUUAGGAGGAAGCCCCGGCUAACUACGUGCCAGCAGCCGCGGUAAUACGUAGGGGGCUAGCGUUAUCCGGAAUUACUGGGCGUAAAGGGUGCGUAGGCGGCCCUUCAAGUCAGAGGUGAAAGGCUACGGCUCAACCGUAGUAAGCCUUUGAAACUGUAGGGCUUGAGUGCGGGAGAGGGGAGUAGCAUGGCUAGUGUGGCGGUUAAAAGCUUAAUUAUUGGGAGGAUCACCGGUUGCGAAGACGGCUUUCUGGACUGAAACUGACUCGGAAGCACGGAAGAGUGGGGAGCGAACAGGAUUAGAUACCCUAGUAGUG
RNAcentral lists this ribosomal RNA (440 nucleotides) under uncultured bacterium. Its description in RNAcentral is "bacterial SSU rRNA". It matches the Rfam family "Bacterial small subunit ribosomal RNA", at positions 338 to 795 of the family's 1533-position model. The record is from RNAcentral.